UACGUAGGGGGCAAGCGUUGUCCGGAAUCAUUGGGCGUAAAGAGCGUGUAGGCGGCCAGAUAAGUCCGCUGUGAAAUCUCGAGGCUCAACUUCGAGCUGUCGGUGGAAACUGUCUGGCUAGAGUCCGGAAGAGGAGAAUGGAAUUCCUGGUGUAGCGGUGAAAUGCGUAGAUAUGCGGAGGAACACCGAUGGCGAAAGCAGUCCCCUGGGCCUGUACUGACGCUCAUGCACGAAAGCGUGGGGAGCAAACAGG
This 253-nucleotide ribosomal RNA is filed under the name uncultured bacterium. RNAcentral describes it as "partial 16S ribosomal RNA". It matches the Rfam family "Bacterial small subunit ribosomal RNA", at positions 524 to 776 of the family's 1533-position model. The record is from RNAcentral.